RNAcentral lists this ribosomal RNA (391 nucleotides) under uncultured bacterium. RNAcentral describes it as "partial 16S ribosomal RNA". It matches the Rfam family "Bacterial small subunit ribosomal RNA", at positions 523 to 916 of the family's 1533-position model. The record is from RNAcentral.
AUACGGAGGAUGCGAGCGUUAUCCGGAUUUAUUGGGUUUAAAGGGUGCGUAGGCUGUGCGUUAAGUCAGGGGUGAAAUGCCGUCGCUCAACGACGGAGCUGCCCUUGAUACUGGCGUGCUGGAGUACGGAUGCCGUUGGAGGAAUGAGUGGUGUAGCGGUGAAAUGCUUAGAUAUCACUCAGAACACCGAUUGCGAAGGCAUCUGACGAAUCCGUCACUGACGCUGAGGCACGAAAGCGUGGGGAUAGAACAGGAUUAGAUACCCUGGUAUUCCACGCCGUAAACGAUGAUGACUAACCGUCGGCGAUAGACAGCCGGUGGCCAAGCGAAAGCGAUAAGUCAUCCACCUGGGGAGUACGUCGGCAACGAUGAAACUCAAAUGAAUUGACGG